UCCAGUUGAUCCUGCUGGAGGCCACUGCUUUUGGAGUUCGGUUAAGACAUGCAAGUCUAUCUCAAAACUGUUUUUGGGAGGCGCAAGGCUUAGUAACACGUAGACAAUCUGCCUUUAGGAGGGGAAUAACCUUGGAAACUGAGGGUAAUACCCCAUAGGAAAUAAGUGCUGGAACUCGCCUUAUUUCUCAAAUGAGUACUUGACUUUGCAAGUAUUUCGCCUAAAGAUGAGUCUGCGCUCGAUUAGGCUGUUGGUAGUGUAAUGGACUACCAAACCGAUGAUCGAUAGGGGCACUGAGAGGUGUUGCCCCAAGAAGGACACUGAGACAAGGGUCCUAGCCCUACGGGGUGCAGCAGUUACGAAUUCUCUACAAUGCGCGAAAGCGUGAUAGGGGAACUCCAAGUGUCCCCACUAGGGGACUGUGGUAAAGUCUAGAAAGCUUUGCUAGAAAGGGAUGGGCAAGACAGGUGCCAGCAGCCGCGGUAAUCCCUGCGUCCCAAGUGGUGGCCAUGUUUAUUGGGUCUAAAGCAUCCGUAGCCGGGUUUGUAAGUUUUCGGUGAAAUCGUCCAUCUCAAGUGGACGGCGUGCCGAAAAUACUGCAGACCUUGAGACCGGGAGGAGUACAGAGUAUUCCUGGUGUAGGGGUAAUAUCCUAUAAUCCCAGGAGGACUAUCGGUGGCGAAGGCGCUGUACUAGAACGGGUCUGACGGUGAGGGAUGAAAGCCAGGGUAGCGAAGCGGAUUAGAUACCCGCGUAGUCCUGGCCGUAAACGCUGUUCGUUAGGUGUUGCAUGUUCUUCGAGAGCAUGCGGUGCCGUAGGGAAGCCGUUAAACGAACCACCUGGGGAGUACGGUCGCAAGGCUGAAACUUAAAGGAAUUGGCGGGGGAGCACAACCAGGAGUGAAGCUUGCGGUUUAAUUGGAUUCAACGCCGGAAAUCUCACCUAGAGCGACAGCACAAUGAAGGCCAGGCUAAUGGUCUUGCCUGAGGGGCUAAGAGGUGGUGCAUGGCCACCGUCAGUUUGUGCCGUGAGGUGCCCACUUAAUUGUGGAAACAAACGAGACCCAUAUCCUUAUUUGCGAUCUUCCUCUCCGGAGGGAGAGCACAAUAAGGAGACUGCAGAGGUAGACUCUGAGGAGGGUUUGGGCUACGGUAGGUCAGUAUGCCCCAAAUCUCUAGGGCUACACGCGAGCUGCAAUGGCAAAGACAAUAGGAUGCUACCCCGAAAGGGGAUGCAAAUCUGUCAAACUUUGCCCUAGUUCGGAUUGAGGGCUGUAACUCGCUCUCAUGAAGCCGGAAUUCCUAGUAACCGCGAUCCAUACAUUCGCGGUGAAUACGUCCCUGCUCCUUGCACACACCGCCCGUCAAAUCACUCGAGUUGGGUGGGGGUGAGACUUUAUCAUCAGAUAAUUUCGAACC
Molecule: ribosomal RNA, 1419 nt
Filed under: metagenome
Description: bacterial SSU rRNA
Rfam family: Archaeal small subunit ribosomal RNA
Source: RNAcentral